GGCCCAGUAGCGGAGUGGUUGGCAUCCGCUGUCUUUAAGCCAAACUCUGAGCUUCUGCGGAAGGCACCCGUUCGAUUCGGGUCUGGGUCU
Molecule: non-coding RNA, 90 nt
Organism: Mycena latifolia
Lineage: Eukaryota; Fungi; Basidiomycota; Agaricomycetes; Agaricales; Mycenaceae
Source: the annotation of a GenBank genome assembly